Molecule: long non-coding RNA, 6564 nt
Organism: Oncorhynchus tshawytscha (Chinook salmon)
Lineage: Eukaryota; Metazoa; Chordata; Actinopteri; Salmoniformes; Salmonidae
Source: Ensembl
GGCACUUUUAACCGAGUUCACCACAUGCACGCCUCACGGAGAGGAUAGGAAUGCUAAUCAACUGGUUUCCUCCGCGACUUGCAAACAGAGCGCAGCAAACAGCAACAGCUCGCAACUUGGAGAUCCUCCGAUUCAAAUGUGUUCUGGUUGGUUUUAGAUGUAUUAUUUAGUCUUUAUCCAUCACUAUGUUCAUUGUUGGAUUCAUCAGUAUUGUUGACUGUGAAUUUACUACAUGGAGAUACCAUUUUGUUUAAUAGACAGAGACAGCGGAUUCAUAACGACUUUGUAACAGAGCGGACUUCUGGUGGAUUUCUGGAUUUCUACUCUCAGGAAUUGGGAAGCCCGAGCUGCUUGCUUGUGUGUGUGUGUGGGUGUGUGGGUGUUUAGGUGACUGUGUGAAUAAUUGUGUGAGGAUUCCGCACGUCCAUCCUCAACAGUUAAUGCUGUCAGAGAGCAGAGAAGUGUGUUAUUGAGACACUUAGCGUGGAAACACACACACAGAACCCCCCCCCCAAACACACACACAGUGCUGUCACACACUGUCUGCCGAUGAGCUCUGUCAUGCAGUCGUUUCUCUCUCCAGUGAACAAGGCUAUUCUAGUAGCUCUGUUCAUCUUCGCCAUCCUCCUUAUCCUCUAUGUGAUCCUCUGGUACAUCUGUAGAGACGUGGACUGCGACCACGGUAUCUGAUCUGAUUAACACCGGGAACACCACCGAAUAACCUAACGGUGGAUAGAGACCCGUCUGAAAGAGGGUCACCCUGAGCUGCCCAGACAACAUGGCAGAGUUGGUAUAGUGACGGGAGGCAUCAGUGGAAUCUGCUUUGAGACCGCAAGACACAUGGCCAGCCUGGGGGCACACUUUAUCAUAGCUGGACAGCAGGAGCGGGAGGGUGUGUCUGCUGUGAAGAGGAUUCGUGAGGAGAACAGAGAGGCCAAAGGUCACAGUCCCCACAACCCUGUUUGGUUUUGUGUCUCCUUGGCUCUGGAUAUUACUGAUUGGCUGGAGAGUGAACACACCUUUUCAAAGUGGUGUUUGAGCAGUUGGAUUUGGCGUCUUUGCUGUCAGUAAGGCAAUUCAUCAAGACAUUCAAGAGGUGGGGCCUACUGCUGCACAUGACACUCAUAUGCACACGCGCACACGCGCACUCGCACGCACACACACAUAAACACACUCCACCUCUCCUUAUUUCUUCACACUCCCACUUUUCUCAACAUCUUUCUCUCUUUAGACAUUAUUAUUCGUCCCAUGCUGGCGCUGCUCUUAUUUUUGUCCCACCUGCAACAGAGGCUGUAUAGAAGAGGGUUCCCAGUGAGCUCAUGUGCAGUGGACCCUGGGAUGGUCGACACGUCGCUCUACCGCCACCUCUUCCCCCCCGGUCGUCUUGCACAGACAGCCAUCACACGCCUACUCUUUAGGGUACACACGGUACUAAUCCAGUAUCUAAAAAAAAGAGAGGACAUAAGUGAUAAUUCCCCAAACUAACUUGAGCAUCACUGACACUACUGUCAAAGUUUUCAGAAGAAAUCUGAAUGAUUUAUUCAAGAUGCUAAUUACAGAAUAAGUAUCUUAAAAUGUGUCCUGUGGCAUUUCACUAAGUCAGUAUAUAGGCAAAGUUAGGCGGAGAGAGAACUUGUCAAGCUUAAGAGGGAAAAUUCUGAAUGCAUAAAUCAUUAUCCCAUGACUCUCAAACACACACACACACACACACACACACACACACACACGUAUUUCAUCUGAAAAUGUAGUUCUAAAACAUUUGAUGGUUUGCUUACUUACUUGUUUAUUUUAGUGGGGUUAUUUUAGAAUGUGUUGCAUUUUUUACAUCAUUACUUGGCUUGGAGACACUGUUCAUGUCUGGAGGAUGGGAUGGUGUGUGUGUAACAUUCUGACAGUGUUUGUCGUGUCCCCAGAGCCCGUCCCAGGCAGCGUCUAUGGUCCUCUACACUUCUCUGUCUCCGUCUCUGGAAGGGGAGAGAGGGGGCUACUGGAGCAACGGACGCACAGAGAUGUCAACACCAAACACCUACCACCCCAGGCUCCAGCUCAGCCUCUGGGACUUCAGCUGCAGACUAGUGAGCUUGCAGGAGCAGCACCAACCAUGACCCCUGACCUCUAACCCCUGAGCUCUUAGUCCAUGACCCUGACACCAACACUGUAUGGCUGAGACCCAACACCUCAUCUGUCAUCCUGCCAUUAUCUUUGUUUUCACAAUCUCCUCACCGCCAGACUGUGAUUGGAUAAAGACUGAUGACCAAGGCUGGACUGUGAUUGGUUAGUGAAGCGGUAAGACCUGUUGCAUACUCUUCAGAUGAAUGGGCUGAUGAAAAUGAACCAACCUUCUCCCUCAGGCACUGUGAACCCACACACACUGUGUUAUGAGUGUUUAUAGUGCUGCUAUGAGUGUUCAUAGUGACCUCUUGAAAAUGUAUAGCAACCUUAUGCCGGUUGGUACACAGAUCAGAACAGAAAGAACCUUCCCUCCAUGGGAAAACUUGAUUUAACCAUAAACAAGUGUCAUCAGUGUGUGUAUGUGUCCGUAUCAGUUAUCAGUGUGUGUGAGUGAUUUUGUCAGUAGCAUCCUGUGUCUAUGAAACAUAUCCUGAUCCCUGCCUGACUGGAUGGUCCAGGACCAAGGAACAAGCCGGCAUGGCAAUAACAUCAGUAAAUCACAGCCUGAAACUGAUAUUUUCAGUUCUUGUGAAAGCAAGCAAAAGGUAUUUUGUGGAAUUUUCCCCAACGCUGUGGGUUACUUCCCCAUGGAGCCAACACCAUCUGAGAGAAUGAAUGCUUUUAGAUUGUGUCCUAUCUGCUGGGCUGUGAGUCACACACUGUGUCAUGGUGUUUGUCCGCCUUUGUUACUGUUAGAGGUGAGUGAUGUUUUAUCAAUACAUACAUACACCUCUCUCAAUACAUCAUGUUGCUGUGUGUGUUUCUGGGCACAGUAUGUAUGUGUGUGUGUGUCUUUCAGUGUGCACUGUUUGUGUGUUUCUUACAGUCAUUGGUUUGUAUGCAUCAGUGGCGGUUCUAGCUUGUAUGGCUCACUGGGCGAACCCCCCCUUCAGCACGCCCCCCCCCCUCUAAAAUACACAAUUCUGCACUAACUGUACUUUUAUUCAGACAUUUGGAACAACGCAAAUAAAUAAUCAUCAUUUAAAACUAUAUAAAUAUAAAAAUAUAUACAACAAUAAGAUGCAUAAAUAUCAAAAAGAAGUAACAAAGACAAAUAGAAACAAAUUUGUGUUGAUUUGGCACUUGAACAUCGUCCCAUUACCCAUCCCCCAACACUGUUAACCAAGAGUCAAGAUUAAACCAAUUCACCUUGGUGGUGUCCAGAAAAAAAUGCAACAAUAUGUCUGUGAAACUGUGGUUAUUUAUGGUGGUUUAUUUGGUAUACUUUCGUAGUGUGACCGAUUUUACUAAUUGCAUUAGUACUGUACAGAGUUAGAGGUGCGCUAUUUGAUAGAUUCCCUCACUCCCCCUACCUCUGGCUUCCAGUGGGGAGACCUGAGGUCAUCUCGUACUUCUCGUCAUCUCGUCCGCCCCCUUCCCAUCUCGUACUUCUGAGUGGGAGACCUUCCCAGGCAGUAACCUGUCUAGCUCACAAACUAGAAUCAGGGCACCCACUCCGACAAGUUUAAUUGACCCACAGUCCCACACGGUGACAUGAUAUCAUUGACGUGACGUGCAACUGAGCGAUAGAAAACCGAUCGCGCAAAUGUCACCAUUACGUUUUUGUGUGGGCGUCCCGUGCUGCCCAUGUCACCUGUACCUAAAUCCACCACUGGUAUGCAUCAAUAAAACGGCUGUACAACUGAAACCAAUACGGAUGAAUGUGGCGGUGAGAGCGGGAAAGAGAGACAGAGAGUGAGAGAGAUUCUUCCUCUGUGGUGUUUCAUCUUCUCUCGCUGCUGCUACCUCAUUUUCCCUUGCUCCCAGUGCAUGUGGGAGGUAGAUUUCCCAGUGGAAAUUAUGCAAAGUGAAGACAAAGACAAACAGACGCACACACACACACAUAACCACCUGUGCAACCAAGCACAGACUUAUCGAAACAAUCAAGUCACACUCUCAUGGCCAGGGGCAGACUGGGACCAGAAAUUGGCCCUGGAGUUUCAAACACAAUGGCCCAUUUUAUUAAUUGAGGCCCCCAUUAUUAGCCAGAUAAUGCUAAUUUUGCCCAAAAAACCCAAGUUAGCCCAAUGUGCUAAAAACGGACCAGCCAGUCUUCCCCUGCUCAUGGCCAAACCAUACCCACUGUGAUUUAUCUACCAACAGUGCUCUGAUUUACAGGCUUAUAUCAAACUAGCUUCCUUUAUAUGACACACACAUUCCCACAGAGACUAGUAUAUCAGGACAGGGGAUAACUACAGACUCUGUGUGUAACCUUCCUUUACUUUACCCUUCCAGUCUCCUAGGGGCUGAUUCCAACAUAGGAAGUGUACGCCUUUCUUACGCACGCCUUUCAGACUUACCUUAUGAAGGUGUGUAACAGGCUUUGCAGGCAUGGUUCCCUUGUACACGCUGAAUUAAUAUAUUUAAACUGCUGAAAAACCUCUCAAUUGCUGGCCAACAGAAUUUCUCGUGGUGUUUUCAUAGGGUUUUCAGUACAUUUAUCUAAAGACAUUCUUUUAAAUGUGUUCACUAGAAUAUAUGGAGAGAAUGGGUCAGUAUAUUAGGGAUCAAUAGAAGAAAGCUAUGUAGGCCUAAAUUCAUUUGUCUCUUUUUCAUCACCAAUUGGUAAAUUAAAAAAUACUCUUGUAUUAUUUAGGGUUAGGAAAGUAUUUAUGAAUAAUAAAAUAACAUUUGGAGAGCCUUUACGCACUAAAUAUAUUUGUUGAUUCAUCCUGAAAGUUGCCAUAUAUUUAAUUGUUCAAUUCAUUAAAUAUUGUUCAGGAACAACCGCAACAAACGUGAUGAUGCAAAAUGUAAGGAAACGAACACAAGUGAAAGUUAUACAUGUAUGUGGGUAUAACUGACGGUGGAACCAAUCGUAAAACAUGAAACCAAUCGUAAAAAAAUACAGUGAAAAGUCUGACCAUAUAAUUAAAACUCUAGACAUCAUAAAUCAACUUGGUAGGUUUGGCGCUAUACGUUCAUUUGCACAUGGCUAUAAAGGCCUAUAGUUUGGGUCUCCAAAUGUCAUCCUUGUAAGUUAUAAGGACAGCAUUUCAUAAACUGCACUGUGGAAAAGGUGAUAUGUUGAUAUGCUUCAGUUUGCUGCCAUACUGUAGUACUGGUUUCACAUUUGUCUUCAGCAAUCAUAAGGUAAAAUAGAUCUAAAACAAUUAUCAUUUAUAUUUACUCAUUUACCUAACUUUUUUUUUAAAUACAGUGCAUGGAGAAUGGCGUUAUGUAGAUUGGAAAAAAUAAAGUAGUUUCUUGACCUUAAUCGUUGUUUCAUCACUCGUAAAGGUGGUGGAAUUAUGAGGGAAUUAAGUCAAGAAUACAGCGUUUCUGUAGACACACCUCCACCCCACUUGAAUUUCUUUGAUCUCCACCCCACUUGAAUUUCUUUGAUCUCCACCCCACUUUAAUUUCUUUGAUCUCCACCCCAAAGGAAUAGUGGGUGAAUAGCAUGAUAUUUCAUUCUUAAAUUCAAGGUCAGAAUAAUCGUGAAGAGAAAAGUGCAUAACAAGAGAAUAAGGUUCCAUUUACGCGCAUUUAGCUCGGUCGGAAUCCCCCUACUGAACACAAGGUUCAUGUCUUCCAGAGAGGUGUGUGAGUGUGUAGCUGUCAGACUGCAUGCUCUUUGGGUUGAUUAUUCUGGGUAGGGUCAGGUUAGUUUGGACUAAACCAAGGUUAUCUGCUGUAUACCUCAUUGGGCCAACAGAGUACUUUGCAAUAGGGUGCCAUUUUGUACACAGCCCAUAUAAUACACCCUUAGGGUUUGUAUUAAAUGGUUCUGUCCCAGUCGGAUGGGAAAACACACAGGGCUCCACUCAAUCAAACACAGUAGUCCUACAGUCCAUUGUCAAAUUAAUCACAGAAUGUUUCUGGUUUCUGAAAACAUAACUUUAUUCCCAGCUGUGAGAAUCCCAUCACAGGCACAUGUAGAUAAUUCCAGAUUUUAAAAUAAGAAGUGUGUGUUUGCAGAAGUUUGUAUGAACAUCACCAUGAUGUGUUUGAUUGAAUUCCAGACUGUUGACAUACAUAGGGGGCUACAGGAGAAUAGACAAGAUAUUGAUCAUGUUGAUUUAAAAUGUGCAAAAUAUAUUUUGGUUGAAAAUGUAUCUCUUGCUUUGCUGUGCCUGAACUCCCUCAAAUGUAGAAUUCGACUGAAUUUCCAUGUAAUUUAGCUGUAGUAAAACUGAACUGUAGUGUCUUGUUAUUGUCAUAUUUCUGUAAAAACCUUUGAUAAACAGUGGUCUGCUGUUUGAGAAGUAUGAAGACCUUAUACCUGCAGGAGAAAGACUUCUGUUCACUAUGAAGACUGUGUCAUAUGGAGAUUAUGGUUAGUGUGAAUAUGGAGGUCAGUGUUUGUCAAUAUGAAGAGUAUUUUUAUGUGGUUGUGAUGUUCUCCUCCUUUUCUACCACCCAAAACCUCCAUAAACAUUUCAUUGUGCC